GGGAUCCUCCAUAAUAGCAUUAUAGAAUCUGAAAGGUUUAGGAUGCAAUAACUUUUGACUCCCAAACUGUAUGAGAAUAAGAGAGUGGUCAGAGACUGAGGGAUUCAUAAAAUCAGCUUCUAGAUGUCCAUACUGCUGAAGCCACUGAAAAUUACCAAGUGCCGAAUCAAUUUUGCUUAGACCUGCUUAUUUGUCCAUGAAUACUUCCACCCUUUUGAUAUGAGGGAGGUCAAUUGAAGAUCAGAAAUGACCUCUUUAAACCCUCUAACUUCAUCAUCU
This 279-nucleotide long non-coding RNA is filed under the name Nicotiana benthamiana. RNAcentral describes it as "long non-coding RNA (NBEN_LNC003089)". Lineage: Eukaryota; Viridiplantae; Streptophyta; Magnoliopsida; Solanales; Solanaceae. The record is from RNAcentral.